RNAcentral lists this small RNA (29 nucleotides) under Bombyx mori (domestic silkworm). RNAcentral's name for it is "ovarian small RNA-18208". The record is from RNAcentral. Lineage: Eukaryota; Metazoa; Arthropoda; Insecta; Lepidoptera; Bombycidae.
UAAACUAGACGUGCCGUAUCUUCAUUAGU